AGAUGCUAAUACCGCAUAACAACUUGGACCGCAGGGUCCGAGUUUGAAAGAUGGCUUCGGCUAUCACUUUUGGAUGGUCCCGCGGCGUAUUAGCUAGAUGGUGGGGUAACGGCUCACCAUGGCAAUGAUACGUAGCCGACCUGAGAGGGUAAUCGGCCACAUUGGGACUGAGACACGGCCCAAACUCCUACGGGAGGCAGCAGUAGCGAAUCUUCCACAAUGGACGAAAGUCUGAUGGAGCAACGCCGCGUGAGUGAAGAAGGGUUUCGGCUCGUAAAACUCUGUUGUUAAAGAAGAACAUAUCUGAGAAGUAACUGUUCAAGGUAUUGACCGGUAUUUAACCAGAAAGGCCACGGCUAACUACGUGGCAGCAGGCGCCGGUAAUACGUAAGGUGGCAAGCGUUGUUCGGAUUUAUUUGGGCGUAAAGCGAGCGCCAGGCGGUUUUUUAAGUUCUGGAUGUGAAAGCCCUUCGGCUCUAACCCGAAGAAGUGCAUUGGAAACUGGGAAACUUGAGUGCAGAAGAGGACAGUGGAAACUCCAUGUGUAGCGGUGGAAUGCGUAGAUAUAUGGAAGAACACCAGUGGCGAAGGCGGCUGUCUGGUCUGUAACUGACGCUGAGGCUUGAAAGUAUGGGUAGCAAACAGGAUUAGAUACCCUGGUAGUCCAUGCCGUAAACGAUGAAUGCUAAGUGUUGGAGGGUUUCCGCCCUUCAGUGCUGCAGCUAACGCAUUAAGCAUUCCGCCUGGGGGAGUACCGCCGCAAGGCUGAA
RNAcentral lists this ribosomal RNA (770 nucleotides) under Lactiplantibacillus plantarum. RNAcentral's name for it is "bacterial SSU rRNA". It matches the Rfam family "Bacterial small subunit ribosomal RNA", at positions 158 to 898 of the family's 1533-position model. Lineage: Bacteria; Bacillati; Bacillota; Bacilli; Lactobacillales; Lactobacillaceae. The record is from RNAcentral.